AUGAGGAAAAAUUUAUUGGAAUUUAUGAUUACAACAUAUGAUAGUACUAGAAAGCGAUUUAUUAUUCGACCAAAUACAGACGGCAUCAGUGUGCUUAAUGAAGAUGUUUACGACAUAUUCGGGCUAUGUAACGAGGGUGAUGAUGUCAGUAGCAUGAUAGCAACAGUACAACUAGAUGCCAAAAAAAUGGUUCCGAAUCGGCUUCUAGACAAAAGAACAGGCCUAAUCCUCAUCGAUGAGUUGAUAAAAAAUAUUGUUGAUACUCAGUCAUAUGAUGAUGAUUUUGUGAGAAGGGCCGUACUGGUUCUUAUGGGUACAGUCUUAGCACCACAAUCCACCAAGUUUGUUCCUUAUCGUUAUUACAAAAUGGUGGAGGACGUGAACGCUAUCAAGUCAUACAAUUGGAACGAUUUUACGUUGAGGGUGUGCAUGGAUGCUAUUAAAAAAUUGGUCGAAGAUCUUGAAAAAUUCAAGUGGCCUAUCAGAAACUUGGCUCUUCUUCAGUAUAUAUACUGGGAAAAAGUUGAGCCAAUUGGUGUGGAUACAUUUGAUCCUUUGUCUCGUGAAUACCCACUAAUGGUUAACUGGCCAGAAACGGAAGGAAAAAAGAGAGACGACUAUGACAACAUGCACGGGCGUGGCACCGGCAAUCUUGAAAAUUGCGUUAGCCAAGAGUACAGACGUGCUAAGGUAGCACGUGAAGGGACUGUCCCAGAUGAAGAAACGAAGAAACCUAAACGGAAAGGUGGUGGCAGGAGUAGAAAGCCAAGCACGUCAGGGGUUUCAUCGAACACGACUAACAGUAUGGACCGUGUGAUGACAUACAUAAAGCUGCUUCACAAGGAGAUGGUAAUGGAAAAGUUGAACACGGAAGGUGUGUUGUACAAACCCAAUAAGAGGGACAACAAUGAUGAAUUUGUUAAUGUACGUCAAGGAGUUGGGAUGGAGAAUGGCCAGUACAAGUCAUCAAAAUAUUGGCCAGAUAUUGAUUCACCUACCGACGUGGAGCUAGUAACAUCUUUCACGUGUUUCAAUGAUACGGACGUGCCCGUUGAUGACACGGGUGCUCCGACGACGACACCGGGUAAAGGUGACGCUACUGAUCCUUUCAUUAUACACGAUAAUGAAAAGUCCCCAUGUUCGUCAUCAACUGUACGUACAAAAGAGUUUCCGUCUAUGUCCUGA
This 1185-nucleotide ribosomal RNA is filed under the name Triticum aestivum (bread wheat). RNAcentral's name for it is "partial small subunit ribosomal RNA". Lineage: Eukaryota; Viridiplantae; Streptophyta; Magnoliopsida; Poales; Poaceae. The record is from RNAcentral.